AUUGAACGCUGGCGGCAGGCCUAACACAUGCAAGUCGAUCGAGCUGCGGACGGGUGAGUAAUGUAUGGGGACUGCCCGAUAGAGGGGGAUAACUACUGGAAACGGUUGCUAAUACCGCAUACUAUCGGAUAACCCAUAUGGGAUUAGCUAGUAUGGGGGGUAAAGGCUCACCGAGGCGACGAUCUCUAGCUGGUAUGAGAGUAUGAUCAGCCACACGGGGACUGAGACACGGCCCGGACUCCUACGGAGGCAGCAGUGGGGAAUAUUGCACAAUGGGCGCAAGCCUGAUGCAGCCAUGCCGCGGUGAGGAAGAAGGCCUUAGGGUUGUAAAGUACUUUCAGCGGGGAGGCGUUACGCGCAGAAGAAGCACCGGCUAACCCCGUGCCAGCAGCCGCGGUAAUUC
This 403-nucleotide ribosomal RNA is filed under the name uncultured bacterium. RNAcentral's name for it is "partial 16S ribosomal RNA". It matches the Rfam family "Bacterial small subunit ribosomal RNA", at positions 30 to 526 of the family's 1533-position model. The record is from RNAcentral.